GGUUCCUACCUAGUCUCUGCUGGCUAAACGGUUUCCUCAGUGGGAUGCAUGAGGAUGCACAUGAAAACGAUGAAGCAUGAUCCCACACUACCUCAGUAAUGUUCAGGUCCGGGCUCUGGGGAGGUUGAUCCAUGACCGACAGGGCUCCACUCUGUGCUUUUCUAUCCAGGUAUGUAUUUACUGCACUGGCAGUGUGUUUGAGAUCAUUUUGGCAUUAUCACCAUGGUGAAAAAUCCGAGCAGUUAAUUUUAAUUACUUAAUAAACUGCUACCAAGCUUAAUAAUAACACUGUACAACACAUUUGUAGAAUAAUAUUUUAUGUAUUUUUAUGUAGUGGAUACAGAAUACAUUAUGUUGUUUCAAUAUAUCAAGUAGUAUGACAUGCAACUACAUGUGUUCUAAUUGUGGUUUAAUAUUGUUCGUGAUUAAAGGUUAUUUGCAUUUACAGUUUUUUAAUGUAAAAAACAACAACAAGACAUUACACAGUGACAAACAAAGCAUUUUAACGUCCAUAUUAAGAACAAUAAAAACGCAAAUACAGUUAUUAACAUACAAUAAACACAUAUGGUUAUGGUUAUAUAACACAUGUGGUUGUCUUUUAUAUACAUUAUAAUGCGCUGUGUGAAAUGUGCACAGCGCACAAAAAAAUACAAGAACACAUUUAAGAUGCAUAAUGUAAAAAAAAUAUAUAUAUUGUUUUGCUUUUGCUGCAUCCUUAGCUGGUUAAUAAAACAGUUCCACCUAUUCAGUACAUCUUAAAUCAUAAUUUAUUUUCACAGUCAUUAUUUUUAAAAAUUUAUUUAUUUUUUAUUAAAGAAUAAAAACACCCCAAAAGAAGCCGUUUUCUUUCUUCAAAAUACAAAUCUGAGCAUCCGGCGGAUGCUAUUUUUAAUCUUAAAUAUUCAAAUCUUCCUCUGAAGAUGUGUCCUGUAACAGGUCUUUGCAUGUACCUAUACUGAGCAUCCAUUUAAUAAAAUUAGAUAUAAUGAAGCACUGUUUAUAAAGUAUGCCGUUCCUCUUCUACCGACUUUUUUAAUUUAAACUUGUUUCCAAAUGUUGGAAUACAACAUGUAAAUAAAAUUAGAAUGAGGCCAUUUGCAAAGAGUUUAAAACCUCAAAACUUGAAAUAGUUCAAAAACAAAACACAUGAAAUGUUGAUAUCAGUAACAUUAAUUGCUUUUUGAAAAUGUUUAUGUUGUUUCAAAACAGCUGGAGGGAAAGGAGGCAUUACCUCUUCUAUUAAAAGAAGUUUAAUAGAAGUUUUUGUCAGCUCUAUACAGCAGCUCCUAACAAACAAACAAAGCCAUUAAAGAAGAAGACUUUAAAAACACAGGUCAAGUAUUUAAUGUUGUUUUAUGAAAGAAAAUGCAUUCAACAACACGACAUACACAUUUUGAAUUUUUGCUUCAUAAAGAAUUUUAGUUGCUCAACAGUUAAGAAUUUAAAUGGGUCUAGUUUACAUUUCAUCAUCACAAAAAGAAGACAGAAGUAAAUGUUUCAAGAAACAAAGAAAAUGAAACAGAUUUAUCUAAAUGAACAUUACAAGGGACAGCAAACAGAAAUAAACACAAAAAGCAAAUACAAGAGAAAUAUCAACUGGUCACAUUUUACAUAUUAAUUCAUGCCUACUUUUAUUUUAGCACUCUUUGUUUUAAAGGCAAAUUAAUUUGUUUGUUUUAGUCUUUUAUUUAUUUUUUGUUGGGAGCUCCGGUCCUCCACAGUAAUAAUCAUACUCUUUGACAUUACACAUACAUGACUGAUUACCCAGUUGCUAACAAAUACACUCAGCCAGCUGGAGGAACCUUUACACCCAGAAUUACACUGCUUUUGCCAUUUAAAGUACAAUGCUCAUGAAAAAUCUUGAAAAUGAAAUUUUAAAAAAAAAACACGUCAUCAAAACUUUAUAAACUAAAUUUUAACAACAUUGAAAUACACCACUGAAUGAAUCCGAUAUCCAGUUCUGCUCACUAAACUAUGUCGUUCAGAGUUUAAAACUGUUCCCAGGUGAACCUGAUGCCCAAAAUAAGCGCUGGUUCAGCAGAUACAUCCAACAUACUGGUACUGGUAAAGCUUUACCUAAGGUGCUGCUGAUUUAUAUCAAAUAUUGCAUUUUUAUUAAACUUUAUUAAAUAUCCCACUCACUGUGUUCGGUUUAGCCCAAAACAGCUGCUGCCUUCUGCAGAAAUCAAACCUGAGGGUUUUCUGCCAGAAAGGCUUUCUAAUAUGUUGAGUUUGUGUUUUAAUUUUCUUUCUGAAAAUGUGUCUUCGGUGGUUGACAACGCAGGUAAGCACGAGUGCUGCCGAUAAAUUUAAUGCUUCAGUCACACAGGUGUAGAGACCUGUGGGCAGCCCCAAAUACUCAUGACCUCCAGCAACCACUAAAUCAAGUGAAGUUCAUAUUUUCAUUUGCUAGGUGGUUGGCAACUGGUUGUGCAACUGAAUCAUCUCAGAUCGGUUGCUGGUUGUGGACCUCCCCUACCAAUUGGCAGGUAACUACUCUUGAGUGGUCAGCACCUGGUGGGAGAUCAACCCAGACUGGGUAUAUGUAGCAGGAUCCUCAGAGCAACUCCAGUCCUACUCACCUUGCCGGACAAUUCAGAUCUCAUUAUGUCUCUUUACUCUCCAUCCUUAGUGUAGUGAUGGCUAUCCUCAGGCAUUGGUAACAUGCUGAAUUCAGUAGUUCAAUAAGAGAACUUGAUGGCAGAAUUGGAGAGGGUUGUCUUUGUUUAAUCCCUGAGAAUUAAGUCUGCCAUGUAUCACAAGCUUCUGCAGAUCCUCUGCCUGACAAAGACAUCUUCUAAUUGCAGCCGUCCUUUUAACUUGGCUUGAAAAUGGCAUCGACUGCCCAGUACCUGGUGACUACCAGCAGCUAUCGCAUUCUAGUCUUCUGUUUGUGGUUAGUAUAGCACCAUUUCUGGUGUUGUUCAUGAGGUCUGUGGUGCCAUCAUCUCCACACCCUGAAGAUGAUGUCACAUCUAUGCCAGGCAUCUUUGACAGUUGACAGGAGGUGAGUAAGAAGUUUGGCACUUGAUGGAGUGCAGAGUACUGACAGUCGACACUUGACAGUUCACCAGAGAAUCCUUAGCUACCAACUUUCGUCAAGUAUAAAUAUAACAAACAAAAAAGAGAUACUUGGCCACAGCUUCUGUUGUCUCUCCACAGAACUUCAACAAAUGCCAGAUGCCAUCAGUUUGAUUGUGUCCGCAUGUGUCUAACUGUUGUGUUCAGCCCUGGAUCAUGAGGAAAAUGCCAAACACAUUAUCCCCAAAGCCUGGAGAGACGAGGCAGUCAUGCAAGAUAUUCGUAGCAGGAAGUCAUGAUGACAAAAGGCAGCGCGUCUACCUUAAGCAUGACUAUAACACUGCUGGAGCUCUAACCCGGUAGGCUAACUUGUGGCUGUGGAGAGAUUUGAAUGAAUAAGGCAAUUAUUUUUUAGCUUUUUUGGUAUCCCUAUAUCCCAGUGUAAUAAAUACAAAAUAAAAGAUAGUUCACUCACAUGAAAAGAAAUUGAAAUUUUAAUUUCAAAUUUAGAAUAUAAGAAUUUAAAGGUCACAAUGGUCCAUGUAUAAAGUACAAUAUAAUGAGAAACAUCUGCUUUUUCUAUUAUUCAAGUUUAUACAUAACACCGACAAGAAACUGAGACUGUCCGCUUUCAAAGUAAAAGUUGCGCCAAUUAAAAUGUCUUGCAGCUGUAAGGCACAAGUUUUACUACUGUGAUACAAGGAAUCAAGAAGUAAGUACCAGUGAAACAUGAUUGUUUAUUAACAUAAACACUCAACUAUGAUCA
This is a long non-coding RNA of Oreochromis niloticus (Nile tilapia), 3787 nucleotides long. RefSeq lists it as uncharacterized. The record is from RefSeq and is a predicted model, not a curated record. Lineage: Eukaryota; Metazoa; Chordata; Actinopteri; Cichliformes; Cichlidae. The transcript has 2 exons.